CGCACGGGUGAGUAACACGUAUCCAACCUGCCGUCUACUCUUGGACAGCCUUCUGAAAGGAAGAUUAAUACAAGAUGGCAUCAUGAGUUCACAUGUUCACAUGAUUAAAGGUAUUCCGGUAGACGAUGGGGAUGCGUUCCAUUAGAUAGUAGGCGGGGUAACGGCCCACCUAGUCUUCGAUGGAUAGGGGUUCUGAGAGGAAGGUCCCCACAUUGGAACUGAGACACGGUCCAA
This 234-nucleotide ribosomal RNA is filed under the name uncultured bacterium. RNAcentral describes it as "partial 16S ribosomal RNA". It matches the Rfam family "Bacterial small subunit ribosomal RNA", at positions 99 to 334 of the family's 1533-position model. The record is from RNAcentral.